AGAUUGAACGCUGGCGGCAUGCCUUACACAUGCAAGUCGAACGGUAGAGUAGCAAUACUCGAGAGUGGCGAACGGGUGAGUAAUAUAUCGGAACGUGCCCAGUCGUGGGGGAUAACGUAGAGAAAUUUACGCUAAUACCGCAUACGAUCUACGGAUGAAAGCGGGGGAUCGCAAGACCUCGCGCGAUUGGAGCGGCUGAUAUCAGAUUAGGUUGUUGGUGAGGUAAAAGCUCACCAAGCCGACGAUCUGUAGCUGGUUUGAGAGAACGACCAGCCACACUGGGACUGAGACACGGCCCAGACUCCUACGGGAGCAGCAGUGGGAAUUUGGACAGUGGGGAACCCUGAUCCGAGCAAUGCCGCGUGAGUGAUGAAGGUCCGUUAGGUUGAAAGUCUACGUUUACCCGAGAUGAUAAUGACAGUAGUU
RNAcentral lists this ribosomal RNA (426 nucleotides) under uncultured soil bacterium. Its description in RNAcentral is "bacterial SSU rRNA". It matches the Rfam family "Bacterial small subunit ribosomal RNA", at positions 26 to 462 of the family's 1533-position model. The record is from RNAcentral.